GGCUGUGAGGGCAAUCUGGCUGCAGCAUCUGUCACCCACUGAUGGCCAGGGUUGAUUCUGCUGAUCUGGCUGGCUGGGUGGGUGUCCCCUUCCUCCCUCACCAUCCCAUGUGCAUCCCUCUCGCAGCUGCCCCAGUUGAAGAGGACAGCCACCCUGGGUAGAGGACUGUUACCUUGUUCAGGGGUAUACAAGUAGCUGUGCCCCCCUGCUAUAACCUCCAAACCAGCUCUCGAGAAACAUUAAGAUUCCUACCUUUUAUUCUUUUCCUGGUAGCAUUGACAACAUGCUUGUUGCCA
Molecule: small nuclear RNA, 296 nt
Filed under: Chinchilla lanigera (long-tailed chinchilla)
Lineage: Eukaryota; Metazoa; Chordata; Mammalia; Rodentia; Chinchillidae
Description: 7SK RNA (ENSCLAG00000021830.1)
Rfam family: 7SK RNA
About the family: 7SK was discovered as an abundant small nuclear RNA in the mid-70s but a possible function has only recently been suggested. Two independent studies have found that 7SK RNA binds the CDK9/cyclin T complex (known as elongation factor P-TEFb).
Source: Rfam by way of RNAcentral